GUCCUCCUGUAGUUCAUAAGCCUGAUGACUGGGUUUCCUGCACACAGGAGAGAUGUGCCUCCUCUGACACUUUGUUAUGACGUGCGCACAUCACCUGUCUAAUA
Small nucleolar RNA from Nycticebus coucang (slow loris), 104 nucleotides. RefSeq annotates it as small nucleolar RNA U13. The record is from RefSeq and is a predicted model, not a curated record. The transcript has a single exon. Lineage: Eukaryota; Metazoa; Chordata; Mammalia; Primates; Lorisidae.